UACAGAUGGUGCGAGCGUUAAUCGGAAUUACUGGGCGUAAAGCGCACGUAGGUGGCGACGUAAGUCGGGUGUGAAAGCCCCGGGCUCAACCUGGGAAUUGCAUUCGAGACUGCAUUGCUGGAGUACGGAAGAGGAAGGCGGAAUUCCCGGUGUAGCGGUGAAAUGCGUAGAUAUCGGGAGGAACAUCAGUGGCGAAGGCGGCCUUCUGGUCCAGUACUGACACUCAAGUGCGAAAGCGUGGGGAGCAAACAGG
RNAcentral lists this ribosomal RNA (253 nucleotides) under uncultured bacterium. RNAcentral describes it as "partial 16S ribosomal RNA". It matches the Rfam family "Bacterial small subunit ribosomal RNA", at positions 524 to 776 of the family's 1533-position model. The record is from RNAcentral.